Molecule: long non-coding RNA, 1490 nt
Filed under: Phasianus colchicus (ring-necked pheasant)
Lineage: Eukaryota; Metazoa; Chordata; Aves; Galliformes; Phasianidae
Description: lncRNA (ENSPCLG00000020208.1)
Source: RNAcentral
CCCCCCCCCGGCCCCAAAUCUGCCCCUUUCGACCCCAAUUUUGGGUCAAUUUCCCCCAAUUUUGGGUCAAUUUCCCCCAAUUUUGUGCCAAUUUCCCCCAAUUUUGGGCCAUUUUUCCCCUAUUUUGGGUCAAUUUCCCCCAAUUUUGGGCGAAUUUCCCCCAAUUUUGGGUCAAUUUUCCCCCAAUUUUGGGCCAUUUUCCCCCAAUUUUGGGCCAAUUUCCCCCAAUUUUGGGCCAUUUUUCCCCUAUUUUGGGCCAUUUUCCCCCAAUUUUGGGUCAAUUUCCCCCAAUUUGGGGACAUUUUUCCUCAAUUUUGGGUCAAUUUCCCCCAGUUUUGGUUCCAUUUUCCCCAGUUUUGGGCCAUUUUUCCCCAAUUUUUUGUCAAUUUUCCCCCAUUUUGGGCCAUUGUUCCCCAAUUUUGGGUCAAUUUCCCCCAAUUUUGGGUCCAUUUCUCCCCAAUUUUGGGUCCAUUUCUCCCCAAUUUUGGGUCAAUUUCCCCCAAUUUUGGGCCAUUUUUCCUCAAUUUUGGGUCAAUUUCCCCCAGUUUUGGGCCAGUUUUCCCCAAUUUUGGGUCAAUUUCCCCCAGUUUUGGGUCAAUUUCCCCCAGUUUGGGGCCAUUUUUCCCCCAGUUUUGGGCCAAUUUUCCCCAGUUUUGGGUCAAUUUCCCCCAAUUUGGAUACAUUUUCCCCCAAUUUGGGGUCAAUUUCCCCCAAUUUUGGGCCAUUUUUCCCCUAUUUUGGCUCCAUUUCUCCCAUUUUUGGUUCAAUUUCCUUCCAAUUUUGGGUCCAUUCCCAAUUUUCCCCCAAUUUUGGGUCAAUUUUCCCCCAAUUUUGGGUCAAUUUUCCCCCAUUUUGGGCCAUUGUUCCCCAAUUUUGGGCCAAUUUCCCCAAUUUUGGGUCAAUUUCCCCCAAUUUUAGGCCAUUUUUCCCCAAUUUUGGGCCAUUUUUCCCCAAUUUUGGGCCAAUUUCCCCCAAUUUUAGGCCAUUUUUCCCCAAUUUUGGGUCAAUUUCCCCCAAUUUUGGGACAUUUUUCCUCAAUUUUGGGCCAAUUUUCCCCCAAUUUUGGGCCAAUUUUCCCCAAUCUUGGGCCAAUUUCCCCCAAUCUUGGGCCAUUUUUCCCCAAUUUUGGGUCAAUUUCCUACAAUUUUGGGCCAUUUUCCCCAAUUUUGGGUCAAUUUCCCCCAAUUUUGGGUCAAUUUCCCCCAAUUUUGGGCCAAUUUCCCCCAAUUUUGUGACAUUUUUCCCCUAUUUUGGGUCAAUUUCUCCCAAUUUUGGGCCAUUUCUCCCCAAUUUUGGGUCAAUUUCCCCCAAUUUUGUGCCAUUUUCCCCCUAUUUUGGCUCAAUUUCUCCCAUUUUUGGUUCAUUUUCCUCCCAAUUUUGGGUCCAUUCCCAAUUUUCCCCCCAUUUUUGGUUCCAUUUCCCCUGUUUUUGGGUCCAUUUCCCCCAUUUUGGUUCCAUUUCUCCCAAUUUUGGGCCGUUUUUUCCCAAUU